CUUCCGAUCUGCGGAAGAUGUAACGGGGCUCAAAUAUAGCACCGAAGCUGCGGCAUCAGUAGCAAUACUGUUGGGUAGGGGAGCGUUCUGUAAGCGGAUGAAGGUGAAUCGAGAGGUUUGCUGGACGUAUCAGAAGUGCGAAUGCUGACAUAAGUAACGAUAAAACGGGUGAAAAACCCGUUCGCCGGAAGACCAAGGGUUCCUGUCCAACGUUAAUCGGGGCAGGGUGAGUCGACCCCUAAGGCGAGGCCGAAAGGCGUAGUCGAUGGGAAACAGGUUAAUAUUCCUGUACUUGGUGUUACUGCGAAGGGGGGACGGAGAAGGCUAUGUUGGCCGGGCGACGGUUGUCCCGGUUUAAGCGUGUAGGCUGGUUUUCCAGGCAAAUCCGGAAAACCAAGGCUGAGGCGUGAUGACGAGGCACUACGGUGCUGAAGCGACAAAUGCCCUGCUUCCAGGAAAAGCCUCUAAGCAUCAGGUAACAUCAAAUCGUACCCCAAACCGACACAGGUGGUCAGGUAGAGAAUACCAAGGCGCUUGAGAGAACUCGGGUGAAGGAACUAGGCAAAAUGGUGCCGUAACUUCGGGAGAAGGCACGCUGAUAUGUAGGUGAAGCGACUUGCUCGUGGAGCUGAAAUCAGUCGAAGAUACCAGCUGGCUGCAACUGUUUAUUAAAAACACAGCACUGUGCAAACACGAAAGUGGACGUAUACGGUGUGACGCCUGCCCGGUGCCGGAAGGUUAAUUGAUGGGGUUAGCGGUAACGCGAAGCUCUUGAUCGAAGCCCCGGUAAACGGCGGCCGUAACUAUAACGGUCCUAAGGUAGCGAAAUUCCUUGUCGGGUAAGUUCCGACCUGCACGAAUGGCGUAACGACUUCCCCACUGUCUCGACCAGGAGCUCGGCGAAAUUGCAGUACGAGUAAAGAUGCUCGUUAAGCGCAGAAGGACGAAAAGACCCCGGGACCUUUACUAUACCUUGGUAUUGGCAUUCGGUGUGGAUUGUGUAGCAUAGGCGGGAGGCCGAGAGGCGCGGUCGCCAGAUCGCGCGGAGCCGUAAGGUGAAAUACCGCUCUGUUCGCAUUGGAUGUCUAACCUCGAACAGUCAUCCUGUUCAGGGACAGUGCCUGGCGGGUAGUUUAACUGGGGCGGUUGCCUCCCAAAGAGUAACGGAGGCGCCCAAAGGUCCGCUCAGCCCGGUUGGCAAUCGGGUGGCGAGUGCAAGUGCACAAGCGGGCUUGACUGCGAGGACGACGGUCCGAGCAGGGACGAAAGUCGGGACUAGUGAUCCGGUGCCGGUGUACGGACGCGGCAUCGCUCAACGGAUAAAAGGUACCCCGGGGAUAACAGGCUGAUCAUUCCCAAGAGUCCAUAUCGACGGGAUGGUUUGGCACCUCGAUGUCGGCUCGUCGCAUCCUGGGGCUGGAGCAGGUCCCAAGGGUUCGGCUGUUCGCCGAUUAAAGCGGCACGCGAGCUGGGUUCAGAACGUCGUGAGACAGUUUGGUCUCUAUCCUCUGCGCUCGUUGGAAUGCUGAGGAGGCCUGCCCAUAGUACGAGAGGACCUGGGUGGACGAACCUCUGGUAUGCCGGUUGUCACGCCAGUGGCACGGCCGGUUGGCUACGUUCGGAAGGGAUAACCGCUGAAAGCAUCUAAGCGGGAAGCCUGCUCCAAGAUAAGCAUUCCGUGGAACCUUCGAGUUCCUGUAGUCCCCAUGCAGAACACGUGGUCGAUAGGCCGGACGUGGAAGCCCCGCGAGGGGUGGAGCCGACCGGUACUAACGGACGAAAGGCAACACCAA
RNAcentral lists this ribosomal RNA (1793 nucleotides) under human gut metagenome. RNAcentral describes it as "bacterial LSU rRNA". It matches the Rfam family "Bacterial large subunit ribosomal RNA", at positions 1153 to 2925 of the family's 2925-position model. The record is from RNAcentral.